GUCAGGAAUAUUGCGCAAUGGAGGAAACUCUGACGCAGCGACGCCGCGUGGGUGAUGAAGGCCUUCGGGUCGUAAAGCCCUGUCGGAGGGGAAGAAAAGCUUGUUGGCUAAUAUCCAGCGAGCCUUUGACGGUACCCUCAAAGGAAGCACCGGCUAACUCCGUGCCAGCAGCCGCGGUAAGACGGAGGGUGCAAGCGUUGUUCGGAUUGACUGGGCGUAAAGGGCGUGUAGGCGGUUGGUUAAGUCGGAUGUGAAAUCCCGGGGCUCAGCUCCGGAAGGGCAUCCGAAACUGGCCAGCUAGAGCGCGGUAGAGGAGGGUGGAAUUCCUGGUGUAGCGGUGAAAUGCGUAGAUAUCAGGAGGAACACCGGCGGCGAAGGCGGCCCUCUGGACCGUUGCUGACGCUGAGACGCGAAAGCGUGGGGAGCAAACAGGAUUAGAAACCCUUGUAGUCC
RNAcentral lists this ribosomal RNA (453 nucleotides) under uncultured bacterium. RNAcentral's name for it is "bacterial SSU rRNA". It matches the Rfam family "Bacterial small subunit ribosomal RNA", at positions 354 to 796 of the family's 1533-position model. The record is from RNAcentral.